ACUCCUGGCGGGACCUACGCGGUAGAAGUUUCUACUAACUGAAAAGGAAGAGCGAGGGAUUGUUUUCUCUGUGGUCUACAGCAGCAGCACUAUUAUUAAAAAUAUUUGGAAAGACAACCUGUAAAUACAAUCAAGUGGCAUCUUAAAUUUUUGCUGGAAGUGGAGUCAUGAGACUAAAGAUAUCUCUUUUAAAAGAACCAAAGCAUAUCCUUUUAAUGCUUAUAAAUCUUAUUGGAUUUUAAUUAUAGUAUUGUUAAAAGUUUCUCUAUUUUAUAUCCUAGUUGAAGAAUAGAUUUUUUUUCAUUCCUUUAGUGGCUGUUUACCUAAAUUGUUUUAAAAUAUUUAAGAUCACGUGUUAAAAAUCUGGUCCUUCAUCAGAACUAGGAAAGCACUGAUUUAAACAUUUGGUCAGACAUUUUAAAUUGAAUUAGUAAGCUGUGUGGGCUGGACUACUGCUGAAGAGCUGUAUUCAUGUAGUGAUGAUCACCAGAUAGUGAAGUGGAACUUGUUAACCAGUGAAACAACUCAAAUAGUAAAGC
RNAcentral lists this small RNA (539 nucleotides) under Pongo abelii (Sumatran orangutan). RNAcentral's name for it is "processed transcript". Lineage: Eukaryota; Metazoa; Chordata; Mammalia; Primates; Hominidae. The record is from RNAcentral.